This 488-nucleotide ribosomal RNA is filed under the name uncultured soil bacterium. Its description in RNAcentral is "bacterial SSU rRNA". It matches the Rfam family "Bacterial small subunit ribosomal RNA", at positions 26 to 512 of the family's 1533-position model. The record is from RNAcentral.
AGAUUGAACGCUGGCGGCAGGCCUAACACAUGCAAGUCGAGCGGUAGAGAGGUGCUUGCAUCUCUUGAGAGCGGCGGACGGGUGAGUAAUGCCUAGGAAUCUGCCUAGUGGUGGGGGAUAACGUUCGGAAACGGACGCUAAUACCGCAUACGUCCUACGGGAGAAAGCGGGGGACCUUCGGGCCUCGCGCCAUUAGAUGAGCCUAGGUCGGAUUAGCUAGUUGGUGAGGUAAUGGCUCACCAAGGCGACGAUCCGUAACUGGUCUGAGAGGAUGAUCAGUCACACUGGAACUGAGACACGGCCCAGACUCCUACGGGAGGCAGCAGUGGGAAUUUUGGACAAUGGGGAAACCCUGAUCCAGCCAUCCCGCGUGUGCGAUGAAGGCCUUCGGUUGUAAGCACUUUGGCAGGAAGAAACGGCGUAGCCCGUAACUACGGACGUCGACUGACGGUACCUGCGAGAAUAAGCACCGGCUAACACGUGCCAGC